RNAcentral lists this ribosomal RNA (906 nucleotides) under uncultured Ascomycota. RNAcentral describes it as "eukaryotic LSU rRNA". The stretch from base 272 to 906 matches the Rfam family "Eukaryotic large subunit ribosomal RNA", at positions 1 to 655 of the family's 3401-position model. The record is from RNAcentral. Lineage: Eukaryota; Fungi; Ascomycota.
AUCGAUGAAGAACGCAGCGAAAUGCGAUAAGUAAUGUGAAUUGCAGAAUUCAGUGAAUCAUCGAAUCUUUGAACGCACAUUGCGCCCUCUGGUAUUCCGGGGGGCAUGCCUGUUCGAGCGUCAUUACACCCCUCAAGCUCUGCUUGGUAUUGGGUGCCACCUCAGGGUGCACCUCAAAAUCAGUGGCGGUGCCGUCUGGCUUCAAGCGUAGUAAUACUUCUCGCUUCGGGGCUCAGGCGCGUGCUCGCCAUAACCACAAUUUUAUCAAGGUUGACCUCGGAUCAGGUAGGGAUACCCGCUGAACUUAAGCAUAUCAAUAAGCGGAGGAAAAGAAACCAACAGGGAUUGCCUCAGUAACGGCGAGUGAAGCGGCAACAGCUCAAAUUUGAAAUCUGGCCUCACGGUCCGAGUUGUAAUUUGUAGAGGAUGCUUUGGGUGCGGUCCGGUCUAAAUUCCUUGGAACAGGGUAUCAUAGAGGGUGAGAAUCCCGUAUGCGACUGGGUGCCAACCCCGUGUAAAGCUCCUUCGACGAGUCGAGUUGUUUGGGAAUGCAGCUCUAAAUGGGUGGUAAAUUUCAUCUAAAGCUAAAUAUUGGCCAGAGACCGAUAGCGCACAAGUAGAGUGAUCGAAAGAUGAAAAGCACUUUGGAAAGAGAGUUAAACAGUACGUGAAAUUGUUGAAAGGGAAGCGCUUGCAACCAGACUUGCACUCAGCUGAUCAUCUGGUGUUCUCACCAGUGCACUCGGUUGUGUUCAGGCCAGCAUCGGUUUCGGUGGUUGGAUAAAGGCCUUGGGAACGUAGCUCCUCUCGGGGAGUGUUAUAGCCCUCGGUGCAAUGCAGCCUACCGGGACCGAGGACCGCGCUUCGGCUAGGAUGCUGGCGUAAUGGUUGUAAGCGACCCGUCUU